Non-coding RNA from Zootermopsis nevadensis, 2387 nucleotides. The record is from RefSeq and is a predicted model, not a curated record. NCBI's taxonomy places the organism in Eukaryota, Metazoa, Arthropoda, Insecta, Blattodea, Termopsidae.
GUGUGUUAACCUCCCCAUUCGGGGGGGGGUUGGUUGUGUUUUAAAAACUUGACCAAUCCCCCGAGGAGCUCUGAAAGGAGCGCUCUGCUCUAGUUAUUUAAAAAUAUAUGAUUAAUGAAACAUGAGUAUGACAUAUAAUCUAAAACAGAGACUUAAAAUGGAAUUCUGUGGUUUGUAACUAGAGAACCGUAUAAUAGGUAGUAAAUUUAAAUAAUCAUGCUUAUGAAAAUAAAGAUUUUUUUAACAUAAUCAAUCUUGCAUGCAGACAGUACUGUACAUGUUAGUAUAGAAUAUCAUGAUCCUUCAUCUUAAAAGACAAAAUGUAAAGUUAUCACAUUCUAAGAAUUAUGAAACAACUGGUUUUAUAUAAAGGAAAUAAAGUAAUUUUAAUACAGAGAACUGAAAUAUUUAAAACUCAAGGAGCCAAGUUAAACAUAAUGCAUUACGAUAGUAGUUUGCCCUACAAUUCAGUGAUUCACCAUGCCACAGUAAUAACACAUACAUACAUGUUAUGUUAUCAGAAAGAAAAAUAGCCGAAGAACUUUGAUUUGUGAACACAACAAUUCAAUUUUCCAACACUAAAAAUACAUAAUGUUUCAGAUAUUAACAAUACAAAAGUAAAGUUUAGAAUCUUUAAGUGCAAUUUUUAAGGAGGGGCAAAAAACAAACAAAAAGUAACUGUUCUGUGGUAAUUUAUGUUAAACAGUGAUAAGUACAUCCUACCACAAGUUAAGUAGUUGGUAAUUACUUUGCUACAGUUACUGAAAAGGUAGAAAGAAAAUUAAAACCCACUGAUGUGCACACUCUCUUCCUGAACCUGAUCUGAAUGUAGUCAAAAUAUUACACAGUUUUUGUGAGACCAGAGUGAAAUUUAUCUGUUUCUCUUGAAUACUAGGUGCUGUUACCCUACCCUCACAACAGAUUGGCCACUCAUGUUGCUUUUGAGACCUUGGUCAUGUACAGUAACCAACAUGGUUUUCUACUAACAAACUAACAUUACAGAGCUGAGUUUUUGAGAAGCUGGUAAUCACUCAGGUAGUGAAGAAAUUCCCCACCUCUUAUGGAACCCAAAGAUAAAUUACAAUGUUUACAAGACCAUGCCAUCUCUCCUUAUACUGAGCCAGAUAAAUCCAGUCUAUAGACUACAACCCAAUUUCGUUAAACCUUUGAUGCUAGAGCUUAAUAUUGAAACAUUUAGGCUUUAUCUCAAAGAAAACACAACUCAUAACCACUACAAGAAACAGGUGGUUAAUGCUGCUUUUGGAGAUACUAGCUGUCUGCAGUAGGAAUAACUGGUGAAUACAUUUGUGGGUAUAAUGAAUAUUUAUUGAUUGCUUUCACCAUGGAGGCAACAUUUUCAGUGGCUAUUCCUUGAAGCCAAACUGUUCUGGCCGCAAUUUUUGAUUAGUAUUCAUUUGAUAGCUUAACCUGUAAUACAUAACCUUGUCAAGUGCUUUAAUACUGAAGUGGUUUACUAAUUAUUCACACUACUCUUGUGUCCUUAUUCGAUGUUACUUGGUGGGUGAUUAAAGUUUAAUUGCAAAAGUAGCAUCGAGCGCAUUUAGAAAAGAAUAAAUAUGAGCGUAAAUUAAAUUUUCUAACCUAACUAUAAUGUAUGAGGCUUUUUGUGCUGAAUUUCUGCCUUAUUCAAUUCACUAAUUUAAUUGAUAUAGAAUAUAAAAGAGAGAUUUAUCGUGGGUAUUGGCCAGUGGUGAUUCAGCAGUAUCUGAAUUUUGCGUUAGUGUACUACCUGUCACUAGUGUGUCGGAAAACAUGGUUAGGUAUGCAUCACACAGAAUGUAGAAUUACUUGCAAAAAUGAAUGUGAAUAUAGUGUAACAAUGGUGGUAACAGCCAAGAUUUAUCAGUGAUGAAACUGUAAGUGACAAGGUUUCAUUUCAGAAAGAAUGUCUUUAAAAUGUGUGAGGAGUUGAAUGAAAGAGAGGUUAUGUUUGAAAAACUUUGAUAGGAAGCUGCUGUUUUUGUAAGCUUAAAUAGUCCUAAAAUGUUUUCUAGACAAUGCUGUAUACCUCAGGUAUGAACCUAUACUGUAAAAGAAUGAUGGAUUUAAAUGUCGUGCCACAGAUUGCCAGUUACACUCCAUGAAGCAUAUGGCACUACAAUUACAGAGAGUUGGAAGAAACGUAUGGCCAAUGAAGCCUAAGUAAUCCAGUCAUGCUCUUACAUAGCUCCAGUCCUGAUGCCUAAUGGAUUGUACUGAAGAAGAAAUUCUCAGCAGUUUUGAAGUCCAGGAUGUGAUGAGUGAUAUUUCGGCUCCUUCAAUGUGUCAGAUGUCAUGCCUUCGGAAUGUAAGAUUAACAGUUAUUUCCAUCCCAUGCAAUAAAUGAUAUUUACGAUUAAAUGAAUAUAAACAGAUUAUAUGAUAAA